GAUGAACGCUGGCGGCGUGCCUAAUACAUGCAAGUCGAGCGAACAGAUAAGGAGCUUGCUCCUUUGACGUUAGCGGCGGACGGGUGAGUAACACGUGGGUAACCUACCUAUAAGACUGGGAUAACUUCGGGAAACCGGAGCUAAUACCGGAUAACAUUUGGAACCGCAUGGUUCUAAAGUGAAAGAUGGUUUUGCUAUCACUUAUAGAUGGACCCGCGCCGUAUUAGCUAGUUGGUAAGGUAACGGCUUACCAAGGCGACGAUACGUAGCCGACCUGAGAGGGUGAUCGGCCACACUGGAACUGAGACACGGUCCAGACUCCUAAGGGAGGCAGCAGUAGGGAAUCUUCCGCAAUGGGCGAAAGCCUGACGGAGCAACGCCGCGUGAGUGAUGAAGGGUUUCGGCUCGUAAAACUCUGUUAUUAGGGAAGAACAAAUGUGUAAGUAACUGUGCACGUCCUGACGGUACCUAAUCAGAAAGCCACGGCUAACUACGUG
RNAcentral lists this ribosomal RNA (497 nucleotides) under uncultured bacterium. RNAcentral describes it as "partial 16S ribosomal RNA". It matches the Rfam family "Bacterial small subunit ribosomal RNA", at positions 28 to 507 of the family's 1533-position model. The record is from RNAcentral.